GACGAACGCUGGCGGCGUGCUUAACACAUGCAAGUCGAGCGGAAAGGCCCUUCGGGGUACUCGAGCGGCGAACGGGUGAGUAACACGUGAGUAAUCUGCCCUUGGCUUUGGGAUAACUACCGGAAACGGUGGCUAAUACCGGAUACGACAACCGUCUGCAUGGGCUGGUUGUGGAAAGUUUUUUCGGCCAGGGAUGUGCUCGCGGCCUAUCAGCUUGUUGGUGGGGUAAUGGCCUACCAAGGCUUCGACGGGUAGCCGGCCUGAGAGGGUGACCGGCCACACUGGGACUGAGACACGGCCGAGACUCCUACGGGAGGCAGCAGUGGGGAAUAUUGGACAAUGGGCGGAAGCCUGAUCCAGCAACGCCGCGUGAGGGAUGACGGCCGUCGGGUUGUAAACCUCUUUCAGUACCGACGAAGCGCCGAUGAUGGUGGUGACGGUAGGUACAGAAGAAGCACCGGCCAACUACGUG
RNAcentral lists this ribosomal RNA (472 nucleotides) under uncultured bacterium. RNAcentral describes it as "partial 16S ribosomal RNA". It matches the Rfam family "Bacterial small subunit ribosomal RNA", at positions 28 to 507 of the family's 1533-position model. The record is from RNAcentral.